Pelobates cultripes (western spadefoot toad) is the source of this 157-nucleotide non-coding RNA. The record is from the annotation of a GenBank genome assembly. NCBI's taxonomy places the organism in Eukaryota, Metazoa, Chordata, Amphibia, Anura, Pelobatidae.
GCAGACAUAUUCCAGCCAAUCAGCAGCAGACCCUCCCUCCCAGACCCUCCCACCUCCUGGACAGCAUCCAUUUUGAAGCUACAUUCUUAGUGAGCUGUCCAGGAGGUGGGAGGGUCUGGGAGGGAGGGUCUGCUGCUGAUUGGCUGGAAUGUGUCUG